AAAACAUCUCUUAUUGAUUAAAAUAAUAGGUUGAUUCUGCCCAAUGAUUAUUUGAAUGGCUGCAGUAUUUUAACUGUACUAAGGUAGCAUAAUCAAUUGAUUUUUAAUUAAAAUCUGGAAUGAAAGAGUUGAUGAAAUAUAAUUUUUAUUAAAAUAAUUAUUUGAAUUUUAAUUUUAAGUAAGAAUGCUUAAAUUUUUUUAAGGGACGAGAAGACCCUAUAGAAUUUUAUAUUUUUUGAUUAAUUUAUUUAAUAUAAUUUAAUUAAAAAAAUAUUUAUUUGGGAGGAAUUUUAAAUUUAAUUAACUUUAAAAUUUUGUUUACAUUAAUUAAUGGUUUAUAAAUAAUUUUAUAUAUUAAGUUUUAAACUAAAUUACCUUAGGGAUAACAGUGUAAUAUUUUUUUAAAGUUCUUAUUAAAAAAAAUGUUU
This 428-nucleotide ribosomal RNA is filed under the name Epyris sp. Its description in RNAcentral is "partial large subunit ribosomal RNA". The record is from RNAcentral. Lineage: Eukaryota; Metazoa; Arthropoda; Insecta; Hymenoptera; Bethylidae.